GAGGCUUAGAAGGUAUUUUUUGAAAGGUGAGAAAGAAGUCUAAAUGUUACUAAUUCAGUGGGCUAUGCAAGAUUUCAUUCUAUUAAUCAAAUAAUUUAGGGUUAAUUUAUGGGGACCUGACUCUUCCCACAAAGCCCAUUUAAUCUGCUUCCCAACUACCAGUUAUUAAUAAAAAAAUGAAUAAUUAAAAUGUAAUUUGAAAGGGCUGAAAUAAAGGAAUGUUUAACAUGAUGGGAAGUAGAGAGAAGCUGGUGAGAAAUUCCUUGAGGUUGUGGGAGCUGUCAGGGAAACUUUCAUUUGAACUGAUUCCCAGAAAUUGAUUAGGACUUUAUAGAUGGGUCUGAGCUUGUAAAGGGAAAGACGUCGGCCACAAACAAGGGCACAAGCAUUUGGACAUCAUGAAACAUUCAAGGAAUGGUCUUCUCUAUGGAGAAUACAAACUAAGGUGGAUGCUGAGAAGAUUAAGCUACAAAUAUCAGCUGAAAAAGCCUAUACUGUCUCAAGAAGAAGUUAAUAUAAUGAAACAGUCUGAAAAAUCUUUAAAAUAAAUGUUUAGUGCCCACAUA
Molecule: non-coding RNA, 566 nt
Organism: Odocoileus virginianus texanus
Lineage: Eukaryota; Metazoa; Chordata; Mammalia; Artiodactyla; Cervidae
Source: RefSeq, a predicted model, not a curated record